GGUUUGUCUUGCUGAUGGCUUCGGAGCGGAAGUUCUGGCGCAACUUCUGCGAGUCCAUUUGCCGCCCCGAUCUGUUCGAGACACACAGUGGCCG
RNAcentral lists this transfer RNA (94 nucleotides) under uncultured Microthrixaceae bacterium. RNAcentral's name for it is "tRNA-Ala". Lineage: Bacteria; Bacillati; Actinomycetota; Acidimicrobiia; Acidimicrobiales; Microthrixaceae. The record is from RNAcentral.